CCUUCAUGAAGUCGGAAUUGCUGUAAUGGCAGGUCAGCAUACUGCCGUGAAUACGUUCCCGGGCCUUGUACACACCGCCCGUCACACCAUGAGAGUUGGAAAUACCCGAAGCCUGUGAGCUAACAGUAAUGAGGCAGCAGUCGAAGGUAGAGCCAAUGAUUGGGGUGAAGUCGUAACAAGGUAAC
Molecule: ribosomal RNA, 185 nt
Filed under: uncultured bacterium
Lineage: Bacteria
Description: partial 16S ribosomal RNA
Rfam family: Bacterial small subunit ribosomal RNA
Source: RNAcentral